This is a long non-coding RNA of Hippoglossus stenolepis (Pacific halibut), 255 nucleotides long. RefSeq lists it as uncharacterized. The transcript is spliced from 3 exons. The record is from RefSeq and is a predicted model, not a curated record. NCBI's taxonomy places the organism in Eukaryota, Metazoa, Chordata, Actinopteri, Pleuronectiformes, Pleuronectidae.
ACUAGCGGCUCGUGUUUUGCGUGGUCCGAUGAGUGACUCUGUUUUCGGUGUAAAAAACUUGCUGAAGUCGACACAACACUGUUUCCCUGGAGGAGAGGAUGAGUGCGUUGGAAAGUAAAGCCGCGGGCCCAGUGUGGACGAGUCGAGGCGGAGAAGACGGGCGCACAAUCCCAAAAUUACGGAAACUGCCCGUCUCUUCACACCUCUGAGGCAAAUGGCCGGCGCCACGAACCGGAGCGAGGCCUGAGCCCCCCC